GGUUCAGUGGUCUAGUGGUUAUGAUUUGUGUCUCACACGCUUAAAGGGUGAUAAGUUCACACAAGGUCCCCGGUUCGACCCCGGGCUGAACCA
Non-coding RNA from Marasmius sp. AFHP31, 93 nucleotides. NCBI's taxonomy places the organism in Eukaryota, Fungi, Basidiomycota, Agaricomycetes, Agaricales, Marasmiaceae. The record is from the annotation of a GenBank genome assembly.